RNAcentral lists this transfer RNA (72 nucleotides) under Methanomassiliicoccales archaeon RumEn M1. It matches the Rfam family "tRNA". From Rfam's summary of the family: Transfer RNA (tRNA) molecules are approximately 80 nucleotides in length. Their secondary structure includes four short double-helical elements and three loops (D, anti-codon, and T loops). The record is from Rfam by way of RNAcentral. Lineage: Archaea; Methanobacteriati; Thermoplasmatota; Thermoplasmata; Methanomassiliicoccales.
AGCCCCGUAGUGUAGUGGUCAAUCAUGUGGGACUCUGGAUCCUGCGACGCAGUUCGAAUCUGCCCGGGGCUA